RNAcentral lists this non-coding RNA (30 nucleotides) under Rattus norvegicus (Norway rat). Lineage: Eukaryota; Metazoa; Chordata; Mammalia; Rodentia; Muridae. The record is from RNAcentral.
UAAUGUGUUUGUUGCAUUGCAUUUGUGUGU